CACCGGAUCCCAUCAGAACUCCGAAGUUAAGCGUGCUUGGGCUAGAGUAGUACUAGGAUGGGUGACCUCCUGGAAGUCCUCGUGUUGCACCCCA
Molecule: ribosomal RNA, 94 nt
Filed under: Eucalyptus leucoxylon (white ironbark)
Lineage: Eukaryota; Viridiplantae; Streptophyta; Magnoliopsida; Myrtales; Myrtaceae
Source: RNAcentral